GUGAAUCAUCAAAUUUUUGAACGCAAAUUGCACUCCCUGGUAUUCCGGGGAGUAUGCCUGUUUGAGGGUCGUUAGAAUAAAAAAUCGAGGCGUCGCUCUUUUUUUUAAGUGUGAUCGCGUCGUAAUUGCGCCGUCCUUCAUAUUUUAAUUCAUGUCAAAGUGGCUUGAAAUUCAUCCAUCCGGUACGAUUAAAGCGUAUUUAAGCUCAAUCUUAAUUAAGAACGCGCGAUGACUUACCAUCU
RNAcentral lists this unclassified non-coding RNA (242 nucleotides) under Funneliformis mosseae. Its description in RNAcentral is "partial contains 5.8S ribosomal RNA and internal transcribed spacer 2". The stretch from base 1 to 71 matches the Rfam family "5.8S ribosomal RNA", at positions 84 to 154 of the family's 154-position model. Lineage: Eukaryota; Fungi; Glomeromycota; Glomeromycetes; Glomerales; Glomeraceae. The record is from RNAcentral.